Molecule: transfer RNA, 71 nt
Filed under: Aplysina cauliformis (row pore rope sponge)
Lineage: Eukaryota; Metazoa; Porifera; Demospongiae; Verongiida; Aplysinidae
Also listed under: 2 other names
Description: tRNA-Asn
Rfam family: tRNA
About the family: Transfer RNA (tRNA) molecules are approximately 80 nucleotides in length. Their secondary structure includes four short double-helical elements and three loops (D, anti-codon, and T loops).
Source: RNAcentral
UCUACGAUAGCUUAAGGUAAAGCAUUUGAUUGUUAAUCAAAAAAAUAUCAGUUCAAUUCUGAUUUGUAGAA